GGGGCUCCUGCUGGACCCGAGCUCAGGAGCUGCGCCGUGGGGCUGAGUGGGGAUGGUGGGGAGAGCACCCGCUGCCCUGGGGAAGGGGAACGCUGAAGCCGUGGGCCGGUCUGGUCCCCACCAACUGUCCUUUUCACUCGGAUAUUGAGCAUGCCAUUGGAGGAGUCAAUAAUCUGCAUGGCAGAAGCAUGGGAGAGGCCAGCACAUGACUUUCCAUUGAUAGAUACCAGCA
RNAcentral lists this long non-coding RNA (232 nucleotides) under Gallus gallus (chicken). The record is from RNAcentral. Lineage: Eukaryota; Metazoa; Chordata; Aves; Galliformes; Phasianidae.